This 734-nucleotide ribosomal RNA is filed under the name uncultured bacterium. RNAcentral describes it as "bacterial SSU rRNA". It matches the Rfam family "Bacterial small subunit ribosomal RNA", at positions 65 to 811 of the family's 1533-position model. The record is from RNAcentral.
AGCGAACCACUUCGGUGGUGAGCGGCGAACGGGUGAGUAACACGUAGGUGAUCUGCCCAUCAGACGGGGACAACGAUUGGAAACGAUCGCUAAUACCGGAUAGGACGAAAGUUUAAAGGUGCUUCUGGCACCGCUGAUGGAUGAGCCUGCGGCGCAUUAGCUAGUUGGUAGGGUAAAGGCCUACCAAGGCGACGAUGCGUAGCCGACCUGAGAGGGUGAACGGCCACACUGGGACUGAGACACGGCCCAGACUCCUACGGGAGGCAGCAGUAGGGAAUCUUCGGCAAUGGGCGAAAGCCUGACCGAGCAACGCCGCGUGAAUGAUGAAGGCCUUCGGGUUGUAAAAUUCUGUUAUAAGGGAAGAACGACUUUAGUAGGAAAUGGCUAGAGUGUGACGGUACCUUAUGAGAAAGCCACGGCUAACUACGUGCCAGCAGCCGCGGUAAUACGUAGGUGGCGAGCGUUAUCCGGAAUUAUUGGGCGUAAAGAGCGCGCAGGUGGUUGAUUAAGUCUGAUGUGAAAGCCCACGGCUUAACCGUGGAGGGUCAUUGGAAACUGGUCGACUUGAGUGCAGAACAGGGAAGUGGAAUUCCAUGCGUAGCGGUGAAAUGCGUAGAGAUAUGGAGGAACACCAGUGGCGAAGGCGGCUUCCUGGUCUGUAACUGACACUGAGGCGCGAAAGCGUGGGGAGCAACCAGGAUUAGAUACCCUGGUAGUCCACGCCGUAAACGAUG